This 252-nucleotide ribosomal RNA is filed under the name uncultured bacterium. RNAcentral's name for it is "partial 16S ribosomal RNA". It matches the Rfam family "Bacterial small subunit ribosomal RNA", at positions 15 to 263 of the family's 1533-position model. The record is from RNAcentral.
GAUCCUGGCUCAGAUUGAACGCUAACGGCAGGCUUAACACAUGCAAGUCGAACGGUAACAUAAAGAAGCUUGCUUCUUUGAUGACGAGUGGCGGACGGGUGAGUAAUGCUUGGGAAUCUAGCUUAUGGAGGGGGAUAACUACGGGAAACUGUAGCUAAUACCGCGUAGAAUCGGGAGAUGAAAGUGUGGGACCUUCGGGCCACAUGCCAUAGGAUGAGCCCAAGUGGGAUUAGGUAGUUGGUGAGGUAAAGG